AAGUCGUAACAAGGUUUCCGUAGGUGAACCUGCGGAAGGAUCAUUAACACGUAUCCACGUAUAAACCUUUGUGAACUGUGUCCCUUUGGAACGCGGUGGUCGUUUUGGGCCGUGGUGCCGAGCUUACGACCGGAAACAUUCGUUUCAGCCUAGUUCUGAAGUGGUUGACUUCACCACAAUUUAUUACUAUAAACAUCGUAAAUUACUGAACUGAAUUGAAUCAGUUGGCUUCGGCGAACUGACUUCUCGAUUAUUAAACCAAACAAUUCUUAACAACGGAUAUCUUGGUUCCC
RNAcentral lists this unclassified non-coding RNA (293 nucleotides) under fungal sp. RNAcentral's name for it is "partial internal transcribed spacer region". The stretch from base 1 to 46 matches the Rfam family "Eukaryotic small subunit ribosomal RNA", at positions 1786 to 1831 of the family's 1831-position model. Lineage: Eukaryota; Fungi. The record is from RNAcentral.